CAGCAGCCGCCGCGGUAAUACGGAGGGUGCAAGCGUUAUCCGGAUUCACUGGGUUUAAAGGGUGCGUAGGCGGAUCUGUAAGUCAGUGGUGAAAUCUCCAGGCUUAACCUGGAAACUGCCGUUGAUACUAUAGGUCUUGAAUUUUGUGGAGGUUAGCGGAAUAUGUCAUGUAGCGGUGAAAUGCAUAGAUAUGACAUAGAACACCAAUUGCGAAGGCAGCUGGCUACACAACUAUUGACGCUGAGGCACGAAAGCGUGGGGAUCAAACAGGAUUAGAUACCCCCGUAGUCCCUGUCUCUUAUAC
Molecule: ribosomal RNA, 304 nt
Filed under: uncultured bacterium
Lineage: Bacteria
Description: partial 16S ribosomal RNA
Rfam family: Bacterial small subunit ribosomal RNA
Source: RNAcentral